AGUGAACGCUGGCGGUAGGCCUAACACAUGCAAGUCGAACGGCAGCACAGUAAGAGCUUGCUCUUACGGGUGGCGAGUGGCGGACGGGUGAGGAAUACAUCGGCAUCUACUUUUUCGUGGGGGAUAACGUAGGGAAACUUACGCUAAUACCGCAUACGACCUACGGGUGAAAGCAGGGGAUCUUCGGACCUUGCGCGAUUGAAUGAGACGAUGUCGGAUUAGCUAGUUGGCGGGGUAAAGGCCCACCAAGGCGACGAUCCGUAGCUGGUCUGAGAGGAUGAUCAGCCACACUGGAACUGAGACACGGUCCAGACUCCUACGGGAGGCAGCAGUGGGGAAUAUUGGACAAUGGGCGCAAGCCUGAUCCAGCCAUACCGCGUGGGUGAAGAAGGCCUUCGGGUUGUAAAGCCCUUUUGUUGGGAAAGAAAAGCAGCAGGUUAAUACCCCGCUGUUCUGACGGUACCCAAAGAAUAAGCACCGGCUAACUUCGUG
Molecule: ribosomal RNA, 492 nt
Filed under: uncultured bacterium
Lineage: Bacteria
Description: partial 16S ribosomal RNA
Rfam family: Bacterial small subunit ribosomal RNA
Source: RNAcentral